RNAcentral lists this ribosomal RNA (489 nucleotides) under Triticum aestivum (bread wheat). RNAcentral's name for it is "partial small subunit ribosomal RNA". The record is from RNAcentral. Lineage: Eukaryota; Viridiplantae; Streptophyta; Magnoliopsida; Poales; Poaceae.
AUGAAAAAUAGUUCCAUGUUGGACGUCGGCGGGCAGGCGGAGGGCAUGUCCGCGGUCGACCUGGAGGUCGUGUUCGGCUCCAUUGGACGCGUCGCUUUUAUCAUAGGGCUCUUGACCAAGCUGAGCGAAUUAAAUUUCACAGUUCACCGGUAUUGCAAUUCUAUGAUGCGAGUGUCUCCCCAGAAAUGUGAGCCCCAAAGGGCAAUUGGUGAUGAAACCUGUAGCUUAUCAAACAUGGAGCAGUGGAGGGAAUUAAAAGCGUGUGGUAUGGAUCCAUGUGGAAGGGGUGAAGUCUUUUGGGUAGAAAGACGUUUGGGAGACCUUUAUGGAGGGAGCCAGGCAAAAACAGGACACUGCAUUGUGUUUCUGGGUCAUCCUCUAGGUUCUGGUUUGAGACCUACUACUGCAAAGGACUUAGCUAACAAUGUGGCAACUGGUUCUAUUACUCGGGUAAAGAGCGCACACACUGGAGUGCAUUUGUUCCUUUAA